Molecule: ribosomal RNA, 100 nt
Filed under: Paecilomyces variotii
Lineage: Eukaryota; Fungi; Ascomycota; Eurotiomycetes; Eurotiales; Thermoascaceae
Description: Byssochlamys spectabilis 5.8S ribosomal RNA
Rfam family: 5.8S ribosomal RNA (bases 43-100)
About the family: 5.8S ribosomal RNA (5.8S rRNA) is a component of the large subunit of the eukaryotic ribosome.
Source: RNAcentral
UGCCUGGAAGGUUGCCGUCUGAGUAUACAAUCAAUCAAUUAAAACUUCCAACAACGGAUCUCUUGGUUCCGGCAUCGAUGAAGAACGCAGCGAAAUGCGA